UUUUGUUGGAGAGUUUGAUCCUGGCUCAGGACGAACGCUGGCGGCGUGCUUAACACAUGCAAGUCGAGCGGAAAGGCCCUUCGGGGUACUCGAGCGGCGAACGGGUGAGUAACACGUGAGUAACCUGCCCUGGACUUUGGGAU
RNAcentral lists this ribosomal RNA (143 nucleotides) under Paractinoplanes atraurantiacus. RNAcentral's name for it is "Actinoplanes atraurantiacus 16S rRNA. Bacterial SSU". It matches the Rfam family "Bacterial small subunit ribosomal RNA", at positions 1 to 144 of the family's 1533-position model. The record is from RNAcentral. Lineage: Bacteria; Bacillati; Actinomycetota; Actinomycetes; Micromonosporales; Micromonosporaceae.